Molecule: non-coding RNA, 30 nt
Filed under: Cricetulus griseus (Chinese hamster)
Lineage: Eukaryota; Metazoa; Chordata; Mammalia; Rodentia; Cricetidae
Source: RNAcentral
AUCUGGAAGAAGCUGAAGAUGAAAUAGAGG